Hibiscus syriacus is the source of this 787-nucleotide long non-coding RNA. RefSeq lists it as uncharacterized. The transcript has 3 exons. The record is from RefSeq and is a predicted model, not a curated record. Lineage: Eukaryota; Viridiplantae; Streptophyta; Magnoliopsida; Malvales; Malvaceae.
UUCUUUCUUCCACUCUCAAAAAGAUAUACAAAUAUGACCGCAUAAGAAACACAGCGGCGGCGGCAAGGCGGAUGAGAUAGAUCUAGAGUUGAGGGAGACUUAUACUCGGGACUCAGCUACGGCGAGAACCAGCCACUGGGGCUUUAUCCGCAAGCGGGACUGGGAGCGAGGGUACAUACAUGCUCUCAAACUGAAUAUGAGCUCAACAAUUGCUUGCUCCAAUGGAAAGCAAGGGUUUCCAAGUCACGGCUUCAGCGUGCGAUGUUCUGAAUCAAGCUCAAUUAGAAAGAAAUAUAUGUGAUUUAUUUAUUUUUAUUGGUUGAAUUAGCGGGACUGGGAGCGAGGGUACAUACAUGCUCUCAAACUGAAUUGAGCUCAACAAUUGCUUGCUCCAAUGGAAAGCAAGGGUUUCCAAGUCACGGCUUCAGCGUGCGAUGUUCUGAAUCAAGCUCAAAGGGAAAAGCUGAUAAACACUGUUUCCUCUGAGUUCAAUGGGAGGCUUAACAUCCCGGUAAUAAAGUGGGAAAUAAUAUAGGGAAAAUGGUGAUGGAUUACACGGCGGAAGAUGUUUCAUUUCUGACGAGUACCAACUUUGAAUCAGCUUAUAACAUUAACAUACUGGCUCAUCCUCUUUUGAAAGCUUCAGCAUCCGGGGACUCUUGAAAGCUCAACAUCCGGAGCAUUGUGUUUAUCUCUUCAAUUGGUUCUAUUAUGCCUGCAUAUUUAGCACCUAUAUGGAGCCAACAAAGUUACUACUUUGCUUCUACAUUUGACCCUUCCUAUAUUU